GUGAAUCAUCAAAUCUUUGAACGCAAAUUGCACUUUCUGGUAUUCCGGAAAGUAUGCCUGUUUGAGGGUCAGUUAAAUAAAAAUCGGUGUUGUUGUUGCUUUUCGUGGUAACGCGUCGGAAUUGAGUUGUCUUACCUUGGGUUAAGUGACUUAAAAUUUUGCUUGUUUUUCGAACGUAUUUAAAUUUUUUACGAACGUUUGAGUUAUCAAAAACUUUAUUAGUUUGGGUAAUC
RNAcentral lists this unclassified non-coding RNA (233 nucleotides) under Glomus sp. Its description in RNAcentral is "partial contains 5.8S ribosomal RNA and internal transcribed spacer 2". The stretch from base 1 to 71 matches the Rfam family "5.8S ribosomal RNA", at positions 84 to 154 of the family's 154-position model. The record is from RNAcentral. Lineage: Eukaryota; Fungi; Glomeromycota; Glomeromycetes; Glomerales; Glomeraceae.